Anneissia japonica is the source of this 742-nucleotide RNA transcript. RefSeq lists it as uncharacterized. The record is from RefSeq and is a predicted model, not a curated record. The transcript has 5 exons. Lineage: Eukaryota; Metazoa; Echinodermata; Crinoidea; Comatulida; Comatulidae.
GUACCAUCCACUAUGGCGCAAAAGAUUAAUGGUGCUUAGGCCUACUAGGCCUAGGCCUAUUAAAGAUGUACUUAAUUAACUUCAUUUAAUGCAUCUUCUGGAGAAUUUCGAAAGGGAGAAGAUUGCCAGUGACAAAAUCUCCACGCUGUCAGAUGCCCAACUUGAAAAUUUGAGUGUGACAACAAUUGGUGAUAGGCACCGACUAAGAAUCAUUAGCUCAACCCGCCCUUGAUAAACUAACGUUACGUUAUCUCACUAUAUUAAUUGGAUUAACACAUUAUCAAGGAUAAGUACUGAGUGUUUAACACUGGUGUCCUUGGAUUCAAUUAUAAGAAACUGAUGAGGACUCUGGAUUGACACAGAAGUGUCCUAAAUGCCAAAAUAACAUUUCAUUCUGUGUUUUAAAGAAACAUUUGGCAAGCUGUGCAAGUAGCAGGUUGAAGAAAGUGAUACAUUGUAUGAUCCAGACCUCACUCAUAGUCAUACUCCUAAUGACAUUCAUGAAGGCGGAUCAAGAACUUCAGACGUCUACUUGACCAUUUUUGAGCUGAACCGCACUACACUUACCAACCAAGCAGUAUGUGACAUUUGUGUGCAGCUGACAGGGAAGAAUAUAAUAUAUUGUAAAUAAAGUAAUAUAAUGUAAAUAAUUAAAUGAAUGAAAAAUAAUUUAAUAUAUUUGUAAUUAAUGUAUAAUGCAGUAAUUGUUAAUAAACAGUUUCUAUGGUUCUAUUCAAUAAAU